GGUCGGUUAGCUCAGUUGGAUAGAGCGUGGUACUAAUACGCCAUCCGCCGUGUUGAGUAAUGCCGAGGCCGGGAGUUCAAGCCUCCCACUGAUCA
RNAcentral lists this transfer RNA (95 nucleotides) under Colletotrichum orbiculare MAFF 240422. Its description in RNAcentral is "tRNA-Ile for anticodon AAU". The record is from RNAcentral. Lineage: Eukaryota; Fungi; Ascomycota; Sordariomycetes; Glomerellales; Glomerellaceae.